RNAcentral lists this ribosomal RNA (219 nucleotides) under Fusobacterium mortiferum. Its description in RNAcentral is "partial 16S ribosomal RNA". It matches the Rfam family "Bacterial small subunit ribosomal RNA", at positions 87 to 305 of the family's 1533-position model. The record is from RNAcentral. Lineage: Bacteria; Fusobacteriati; Fusobacteriota; Fusobacteriia; Fusobacteriales; Fusobacteriaceae.
GGGUGAUGGUGGCGGACGGGUGAGUAACGCGUAAAGAACUUGCCCUGCAGUCUGGGACAACAUUUGGAAACGAAUGCUAAUACCGGAUAUUAUGCGAAUCUCGCAUGAGAUUCGUAUGAAAGCUAUAUGCGCUGCAGGAGAGCUUUGCGUCCUAUUAGCUAGUUGGUGAGGUAACGGCUCACCAAGGCGAUGAUAGGUAGCCGGCCUGAGAGGGUGAAC